RNAcentral lists this ribosomal RNA (420 nucleotides) under uncultured Actinomycetes bacterium. Its description in RNAcentral is "bacterial SSU rRNA". It matches the Rfam family "Bacterial small subunit ribosomal RNA", at positions 9 to 429 of the family's 1533-position model. The record is from RNAcentral. Lineage: Bacteria; Bacillati; Actinomycetota; Actinomycetes.
GAGUUUGAUCCUGGCUCAGGAUGAACGCUGGCGGCGUGCUUAACACAUGCAAGUCGAACGGUGAAACAGGAGCUUGCUCCUGCGGAUCAGUGGCGAACGGGUGAGUAACACGUGAGCAAUCUGCCCUGGACUCUGGGAUAAGCGUUGGAAACGACGUCUAAUACCGGAUACGAGCUGCGAAGGCAUCUUCAGCAGCUGGAAAGAACUUCGGUCCAGGAUGAGCUCGCGGCCUAUCAGCUAGUUGGUGAGGUAACGGCCCACCAAGGCGACGACGGGUAGCCGGCCUGAGAGGGUGACCGGCCACACUGGGACUGAGACACGGCCCAGACUCCUACGGGAGGCAGCAGUGGGGAAUAUUGCACAAUGGGCGCAAGCCUGAUGCAGCAACGCCGCGUGAGGGACGACGGCCUCGGUUGUAAC